GACAAUGGGGGGAACCCUGAUCCAGCCAUGCCGCGUGUGUGAAGAAGGCCUUUUGGUUGUAAAGCACUUUAAGCGAGGAGGAGGCUACCGAGACUAAUACUCUUGGAUAGUGGACGUUACUCGCAGAAUAAGCACCGGCUAACUCUGUGCCAGCAGCCGCGGUAAUACAGAGGGUGCGAGCGUUAAUCGGAUUUACUGGGCGUAAAGCGUGCGUAGGCGGCUUUUUAAGUCGGAUGUGAAAUCCCUGAGCUUAACUUAGGAAUUGCAUUCGAUACUGGGAGGCUAGAGUAUGGGAGAGGAUGGUAGAAUUCCAGGUGUAGCGGUGAAAUGCGUAGAGAUCUGGAGGAAUACCGAUGGCGAAGGCAGCCAUCUGGCCUAAUACUGACGCUGAGGUACGAAAGCAUGGGGAGCAAACAGGAUUAGAUACCCUGGUAGUCCAUGCCGUAAACGAUGUCUACUAGCCGUUGGGGCCUUUGAGGCUUUAGUGGCGCAGCUAACGCGAUAAGUAGACCGCCUGGGGAG
This 522-nucleotide ribosomal RNA is filed under the name uncultured bacterium. RNAcentral's name for it is "bacterial SSU rRNA". It matches the Rfam family "Bacterial small subunit ribosomal RNA", at positions 367 to 880 of the family's 1533-position model. The record is from RNAcentral.